GACGAACGCUGGCGGCGUGCUUAACACAUGCAAGUCGAACGGAAAGGCCCUGCUUUUGUGGGGUGCUCGAGUGGCGAACGGGUGAGUAACACGUGAGUAACCUGCCCUUGACUUUGGGAUAACUUCAGGAAACUGGGGCUAAUACCGGAUAGGAGCUCCUGCUGCAUGGUGGGGGUUGGAAAGUUUCGGCGGUUGGGGAUGGACUCGCGGCUUAUCAGCUUGUUGGUGGGGUAGUGGCUUACCAAGGCUUUGACGGGUAGCCGGCCUGAGAGGGUGUCCGGCCACAUUGGGACUGAGAUACGGCCCAGACUCCUACGGGAGGCAGCAGUGGGGAAUAUUGCACAAUGGGCGGAAGCCUGAUGCAGCAACGCCGCGUGCGGGAUGACGGCCUUCGGGUUGUAAACCGCUUUCGCCUGUGACGAAGCGUGAGUGACGGUAAUGGGUAAAGAAACACCGGCUAACUACGUG
This 468-nucleotide ribosomal RNA is filed under the name uncultured bacterium. Its description in RNAcentral is "partial 16S ribosomal RNA". It matches the Rfam family "Bacterial small subunit ribosomal RNA", at positions 28 to 507 of the family's 1533-position model. The record is from RNAcentral.